RNAcentral lists this non-coding RNA (30 nucleotides) under Mus musculus (house mouse). The record is from RNAcentral. Lineage: Eukaryota; Metazoa; Chordata; Mammalia; Rodentia; Muridae.
UGUAAUUCUGCCAUGGAUCUCGAUUGCCCU